This 751-nucleotide ribosomal RNA is filed under the name uncultured low G+C Gram-positive bacterium. Its description in RNAcentral is "bacterial SSU rRNA". It matches the Rfam family "Bacterial small subunit ribosomal RNA", at positions 8 to 776 of the family's 1533-position model. Lineage: Bacteria; Bacillati; Bacillota. The record is from RNAcentral.
AGAGUUUGACCCUCGCUCAGGACGAACGCUGGCGGCGUGCUUAAAACAUGCAAGUCGAACGGAGUUAAGACUUCGGUUUUAACUUAGUGGCGAACGGGUGAGUGACGCGUGAGGAACCUGCCUCUCAGUGGGGGACAACAGUUGGAAACGACUGCUAAUACCGCAUAAUGUCAUGAACUGGCAUCGGUUUAUGACCAAAGAUUUAUUGCUGAGAGAUGCCCUCGCGUCUGAUUAGCUAGUUGGUGGGGUAACGGCCCACCAAGGCGACGAUCAGUAGCCGGACUGAGAGGUUGACCGGCCACAUUGGGACUGAGAUACGGCCCAGACUCCUACGGGAGGCAGCAGUGGGGAAUAUUGGGCAAUGGGCGAAAGCCUGACCCAGCAACGCCGCGUGAAGGAAGAAGGCCUUCGGGUUGUAAACUUCUUUUACCAGGGACGAACACAAUGACGGUACCUGGAGAAAAAGCAACGGCUAACUACGUGCCAGCAGCCGCGGUAAUACGUAGGUUGCAAGCGUUGUCCGGAAUUACUGGGUGUAAAGGGCGUGUAGGCGGAGAUGCAAGUUGGGAGUGAAAUCCAUGGGCUCAACCCAUGAACUGCUUUCAAAACUGCAUCCCUUGAGUAUCGGAGAGGCAAGCGGAAUUCCUAGUGUAGCGGUGAAAUGCGUAGAUAUUAGGAGGAACACCAGUGGCGAAGGCGGCUUGCUGGACGACAACUGACGCUGAGGCGCGAAAGCGUGGGAGCAAACAGG